AAGUACCUGAAGGAAGAGAAAGAAAUUCGAUUCCGUAAGUAGCGGCGAGCGAACGCGGAUUAGCCCAAACCAAUAAAGUUUUCUUUAUUGGGGUUGUGGACAUAUCAUAACGAAGAGGUAUCGUAAUUGAAGAGGUUUGGAAAGACCCACCACAGAAGGUAAUAGUCCUGUAUGUUAAACGAGAAGACUUUAGAUAUGAUCCAGAGUACCACGGGACACGUGAAACCCUGUGGGAAGCAGGAGGGACCACCCUCCAAGGC
RNAcentral lists this ribosomal RNA (260 nucleotides) under Clostridioides difficile. Its description in RNAcentral is "partial 23S ribosomal RNA". It matches the Rfam family "Bacterial large subunit ribosomal RNA", at positions 204 to 466 of the family's 2925-position model. The record is from RNAcentral. Lineage: Bacteria; Bacillati; Bacillota; Clostridia; Peptostreptococcales; Peptostreptococcaceae.